Gallus gallus (chicken) is the source of this 8787-nucleotide long non-coding RNA. RefSeq lists it as uncharacterized. The record is from RefSeq and is a predicted model, not a curated record. NCBI's taxonomy places the organism in Eukaryota, Metazoa, Chordata, Aves, Galliformes, Phasianidae. The transcript is spliced from 3 exons.
GCAGCCUGCCCUGCCAGGACUGAGCAUCUCACGGCCCGACAGGGCAGGUCAUGAGCCUCACUGGCAGCUGGGGGUCAGCACUGCCCCAGCUGCGUGCCAAGGGAUUGCCGGAGAGGGUUAGACCUCCUUUCCCCAUCGUUUCUUCUAGAGAUGAGGAAGCAAACCUUCCCCAGCCACUGAGCAUUUGAAUGCGUGGGCACCACUGGACGAAGUGAAUAUUGUCACUGAGGAAGGCUUUGGACUGUGGGACCAGGUCCCAUUGAUUUAGAAUGAAAGCAUAAUACAGGCUUCAAGCCAUCUCUAAGUGUUUGGCAGCCCAUGCCUGACCGAGGAAAUAAGCACUCAGGUAAGAUGACCAACUCUCAUUAAAAUUUAGUGAAGGUCAUUAGUUUGCUCUUACUUAGUGAAUUUUCCCUGGGUGACAUAUUGCCCAACGGGGUAUGAUAGCAUAAAUAUGGAAUUUUAGUAUGUGUUUUUUGAAGAUGAGCAAAGCAGGCAGAUGGGCAACUGGGGCCUUAACAUCACUAUAGCUAUCUCUCUUGAUUAAACUGUUAGCACAUUAAUUAAAAUUACUCUAGGGAGCACGUGCAUGGGGUGGGAAAACUGGCAAUCAUGCCAGACCACAGGUGGAGGUGCUGAGUUCUGGGCAGAGCAGCUUUAGGUAGGUAAGCACUCAUCUGGUGGGUUCCUGCACCAUUGAGUCAGUGGCACCUCUCCCCACUCUGCCCUUGCCAGCAUUACCUUUUAUCUGCAGCAAGGCUUUGUGGGCUAGGCUGAGUAAUGAGAUAGGUAAUGUGAUGUCCCCACAUUUCUUUAACAUCUCUUCCCAUGGUCACUGACAAACCUUUUUGCUUUUUCUAUUGUUGAGGUUUCAUUAUGAUGAACAUAAACAGUUCCCCAUUUUAUACCCACCACUGAACCUCCCUGAGACAUUCUGCUUUUUAUCCUAAGUUUCUGCAGUCUUUCUAUCCCCUCUGCUGCUCACAUGACCACAUAUUCCAGCUUGGAUUGAAACAACCUCUGUGCUUUUUGCUCAGCUGAUGUUUCCUGCCCAAGGUCCUGGUUUCUGCUUGGUGCUUUGGCCACUUGUGGCACAUCAAAGACCCCUUCUGCUACCAAAAAUUCAAACUCCUGCCUCUGUGUGCUGCCACUGCACUUCCUUAGUUUUAUUCCGCUGCUUCUUCAUGAGUAAUCAAAACCCUUUCCUUAAAUGCUCAGUGUUUUUUUGUUUUUUCUCUGCAUCCUUCCUUAUUUCCCAUUCCUUUCAUCUUCCAAUGGGGUGCAAUCUGCCCUGUUUUUUUCUCCCCUUAGUUCAAACCCCAGUGAAUAUCUAGGCAGAGCUGUUCUCCUCUCUCCACAGUUAGAUGUGGCUUGCUUUCUUCUUCUUUUAUACUUCUUUCCCUCUCUUCACAGUCAGUUUAACCACAGACGUGAAACCUCCACCGUAUUCCAUUUAGGAGCAGAGACCGUAUUGCCUGAAACCACUGCAAACCUAUAAAGUUCUGUGUUUGUUUAGCAGGAACAAAGAUUAUUUUUGCAAGAAGGUGAUGAAACAGCAAAGUUAGAGUUCUUCCAGCAGCAGAAAAUGCACAAAGGCAGGCAAUGUUUAUAGGCAGAUAAAUAUCAAAUGUAAUGCACUGAUUAAUAUUCCAGCAGGAUGGACUUUUAUGAACUGGCAUGUCAUUCUGUAGGUUUUAUUUUUAACAGAUGGGAAAGAAAAACAACAUUUGGUCUAGAGCCUCUGUCUGUCUGAAUGAGGUUUUGCUCAUUUGGGGGGCUGCAGCUAUUCUAAACAUGGCAACCUGAUUUAAUUAGCUGACCAGGAUCCUGCUUCAUCAGGGUUUUUUUUUGUGUGUGGAUAAAUGCACUCUAGCAAAACUGACAGUACUCAGAGCUCCAGACUGCUCCCGCCAAGUUUCCAUCUGAAAUGUGCAAACAAAAUAGCUGAUGAAAUAAUAGACAUGCUCACGCUGGAAACCUUUCUCUUUCCUUUUUCAGGGAAAUUGAAUAUCUAUUGAUUUAUCAUUUCUACCAGAUGGGGAUCACAGCAGUAGUUCCUCUGUGUUUUCACAAGCAGUGUCUUUCACAGAGUUUGCUUUGGUUGACAAGUUAUUUUCCUUCUGAUUUGAGUCUGCCUCUAAUGUGUGCUUUUGGGGUAUUGAUUUCACCAGCAGACAAGCUCUGAUUAUGGCUGUUGCAAGGCUGCCAAGGCCCUGCGAUGUGCAGAAGUCUCUUUGAGUUUCUUCUUCCUGAAAGGCCUAGGCUUCUUAGGGCUAGGAUGAAAAGCAUGAGACCCAUUAAGCAAAGAAGCCAAUCCUGAUGCCUAGGAGGGGUUGCAAAGGCAGUUGGAAUAAAAAGUGAUGCCAAGUCCUUUGUGCAUCUUUGUAUGUGGCACAGGUGCCACAUUGACGCAAAAUGUUUGGAGACUGUCUCCCCGAGAAAGUCUGUUGUCUUAAAUGCAAGUUCCAAUUAUAGUACAAACCCAGCAUUAGGGGCUUUUUGUUUUCAAGUGUGUUGUGCUGAGCUAGGCUUAUCAUCAAGAAGACAAGGGAAUUAACCUUGGUUUAUUAAUUUUAUGUAGACAUUAAUAGUUGCAGCAUCAGCAUUUCCUUGAUUUAGCCACGCGGGUACCACACACAGUAUAGAACUGAAGGAAUGCCAUCUGGGAAUUGAGAGCUGCCCAGUUUUUCAGUCUGCCUUCCCAAGGUUAUAUGACAUCAGUCUCUGAUCAACUGCCCUUUCUGUUGGCUAGUUUCCACCUCAAAUGAAAGGGACAUAAGUCCUGGAAAAGUAAAUUCCCCACCGAAACCCUAGAGGGAACCAAUGAGAAAAACAGAAGAAGGUGUCAGGUCUCACUGAAUCUCCUUGUCAGCAACUGGCAGGACCUCGGGGUGUAUGUUGGCUUACCAACCUGCUUAUGAAUAUUUCCAGAUUGGCUACCACACAUAUUGCUCCUUCCUGGUGUUGUCAAAGACAAAUGAGAGCAGGCAGUAGGAGUUACUGCACGUAGGAGAAGACAUUUUAUGGGAUAUCUGACACAUCCAAGGGAAAAAAAAAAAAACACAACCAUUUUUGCUGCCCAGGAAACUGUUUGGAUACUUAGCUGGUCUGGCUUGUUUUGUUUUGUUUUUCCCUCAGAAAAAGUCUGAAUUGUACUGCUUCUUUAUUCCACCAUUCUUUCCCCCUGCAUAUUUCAACUAGCUCCCCUCUGCCAUGAAGUGUUCGUGACAGAGAAAGUAAGCCAGCUGACUGAUGGCUGAGGAAGAGGUUUUCUGCAGGUUAUGGGGCCAUGUGAAGGUGAUGACAGUUACAACAGCGCUGAACUGGCAUAGAAGAUCACAGCAGACCCUGGGCUAUGUAGUUGCUCAAUCUAGUAAUUUAAAUUGCCACCUUGCUUCCCACUGUUGCAGUUUUUCAGUGUUCUUGAAAAUUAUCAUUGCAUGUAUUUACAUAUAUUUACACAUAUACAUAGGUUUAUGCCUUGCUCCCUGAACAGGAAGGUUAUUGCUUGGUCUCAUGUUUUUGACAGCAAGUGCAUCUGGAAUCCACUUCCAGCUUCUGCACGUAGGUGAUUUCCUUCUAGUAGGACACCGUGUAAUCCACACCUGGUGCAAGGGCAGAGCUACUCCACAGCUCCAGAGUACAAAAUCCUCCCUGUCCAGAUCAGCUUCUCGGAGGCUGAGGGGCCAUGUGUGUUCUAGUACUCUUCUGUUCAACCGAAGUCCUCAUUUUCUGUCUUUUUAGAAACCUGAAAAUCCUUUACCUUAGGAUGAGAAGUCUGCUUUGGUCUCAAGCCGUCUCCCAGAGUUAGAGCAGAGCAAUACAGUAUAACUGAAGCUUCGUCUUUUGUGUGCAUAGCAAUGUGGAGUUUAAUUAAAAAUCUCACUUUCUGUUAUUUUUACUGCAGAUGACUGCUUCAGUGGGUGCCCAAGAAAACAGCAGGAUAAACUAACAAAAUGAAGGAGGGCUGUAUAGUGAAAGUGUUUGUUGUCUGGAGGACUCUGGCUUCGCUUGCUGAAGAAGGCUGAAAAUGCAUAAUGAAUGAGACAGGAUACUCCAGAAAGCCAUAAAAUGGUCUCAGAGGGCAUGUUUGAUACCUCUGUGGGGAGCUAGGUUCUGUAUCUUGCUCAGCCACAGGCUUGGUUCCUAUCCCUUGAACAGAAAAGUUUACCAUACCAUGCAUGCUUCUCAGCUUCUCAUUUUUUGUAUGUGCAAGGCACGGCAGAUGGGACUAUUUUUUUAGAGAGGUGUUACCUGCAGAUGAAGUGACCGCAGCUUUGCCUAUGGAAUGAGAUAUAAAAAAGCUCAGAGUUCUAUAAAAUGAACCAGGAUCUAAGCCUGGGUAUUAAAAAUUCAUAGAUGUUUUUCAUAGGUCUAUACUGAAAUUUCCUCCGUGUUGGUACUUUGUGUGCAACAUGAGGGCAGUAAUUCCUAAGUGUCUUAGCCAAACUGUAGAGGAAUCCUUAAUAUUUUGGAGGUACAAGAUGUUGCAGUGGAAAUAUUUGUGAGGAAAACACAAAUUUUAUGCUCGAGGAAGCAAGAUUUGGAAGGCAUGAGGUAAAUAAGGAUAAGUAAUGUGUAUUAUAGCAGCAUGCUAAAAAUAAACAGAAAUAUUUAGCCAUUCACUGAGGAAGACAAGGACGUUGUAUAAAAAUAUAGUCUACAAUCAUGUAAUUAAAGCCUGCAUUGUAAUUUGAAGAAGCUGAAGUAAAGGAGCUGUGUGGGUGGCUUUAGCUCUGUUGUCUUUGUCACUGAGUUUCUGCUUUAAUAGGUAGCUUUUCAGAUGUUGUUGGAUAUGUGACAGCGUGGUAAUAACUUCCACAACACAAGUUUAACAGUGCUCUGAAAGCAAAUAUCUUGCUUUGAAACAGGUACAUUUCACUGGACAAAAUCCUCUCUUUCAUCUCAGUGCUCCUCUAUUCUCUUCACUCCCUUCUUUGGAGAAAAGAAGGCUCCAGGGAGACCUCAUUGUGGCCUUCCAAUAUUUGAAGGGAGCCUACAAACAAGAGGGGGUAUGUCUGUUUACAAAGGUGGAUAGUCAUAGGACAAGGGGGUUUUAGAGUCUCAGUUUUAAACUGAGAUGGGGGAGGUUUAGCUUAGAUAUUAGGAGAAAGUUUUUCACUCAGAGGAUGGUGACGCACUGGAACAGGUUGUCCAAGGAGGUUGUGGAUGCCCCAUCCCUGAAGGCACUAAAGGCCAGGCUAGUGGUCUGGUAGACCCUGCACAUAGCAGGGGGUUGAAACUAGAUGAUCUUUGAGGUCCUUUUCAACCUAGGCCAUUCUAUGAUUCUCCUGUUGCCACCUCCAUGGGACACCACGCGAGGGCCAGCAGCCUUUGGUUGGCCACAGGUCCUUCUGACACCUGUGACCAGGCAUUGGAGGUUCCCUGCCUCAUCUCUGUAUCUCACAGCUCCUGGAGUGGGCUGUGACAUAAAUUCCUUGCAGGGAGUACGGUGUGAUGAGGAAGCUGUGCUGGCCACCCCACUCAGCCCCACUGCCAUACCGUCUGUGGCAACAAUGGUGUGCGGUUGCAGGAGGCAGUGAUGCUGAAUGCAGGAAACCUGACGACGGUAUAUUUUACAGCAUGGCAGCUGUAACGCAGGAUCGUAAGAAACGUUUGCAUUUUGAAAUGCUUUAUCUUCCAUUUAAGGGAUAGUGUUUCUGGCAGGGAAAGAAUAUAUAAGGGUAUUAAAUGGCUUUCUUUGCAGGCAAUUAAACAAGGAAGCCGAUCAAAGACAUUUAAAUAAUUGUAACAGAUGUUUAUUGCCUGAUGCAGUUUACUGCAUCCUAUUAUUUCUGUUACAUACAGGAGAGAAGAACACAUGGCAAACUGUACCGCAAAAGAAAUUCUUUACUGCCUUGUGAGGAACGUGGCUGCUUCUCUGCCUUCUUAAUUGUAUCAUGUUGAGAACAAGUCAGUAAUAAGUAGUGUUUGGAGGGCAGAGAAGUGGCUUACUGCCUGGAGGAGCAGCAGCAAGUGGUGUGCAAAGACAUGGGGUUGAUGGUAAACACCUUUGAGACAACAGACUGCUGUGGGAUUGCUUCAAGAGUGAUGCUCAGCUCACUCACAUUAGGAAUUUCAGUUCCUCCUGAAGUUAUGCAGUUAGUACUGAGAGGGACAUCCUGGCUCAGGACAAAAGUGUUGGUGGCACUGUAAUCCUCAGUGACAUCUGGGAAUGGCCUCAGGUGGGCAACUAGGCAUCAAUAAAAGGCAAGCAUGUGACAACUCCCCCAGAUACUCCUCAAACAUUUUUGUUGUAGGGCCAGAUGUGUUUUCUUUGUCGUUAAUAACAUAAUAACAUACUUUAGUACUGUGUGUUUAAUUCUAUGUAUUUAAAAACAGAUUUUUCUUGCCUUGAAUUUAAGUGUUCAGAAUAGCCUAUGUAGGACAGUAAGUACCCUAGAGGAACCCAUGAGCUUUUCAUCACCAAUUAAAAGAAAGGGAUGUUUGUUUCCCUAAACAAUAACAAAAAAUUCUAACAAUGAUACUCCUCCCAAUCCCAAAUCCCCAUACAAAAGCCUAUAAACAUUCAAAAUCUAGGCUAGUGUCCCUCCACUUGUUUUAUCCUUGGCUUUGACUAAAAUCUGAGGCUUUUUCAGCAAACAUCUCAUAUUUUCAAAUUCAGUAAUGACUUCAUACAUCCUACUAAUAGAAAAAAAGACUUAUUGCCAUCAUUUCAGAACACAACUGGAAUAUUCAAUAUUCCCCAUCUCCCUUCCUCCCUCUUGCUGAAAGAGGAAGACUUCAGGGAGACUCUUUCUCAGAAGGAAUAACAAUUAUUUGAUGUGUUAUUCUUCCUCUACAGAUCACACCUCUCAUCUGGGGCAGAUCUUUUCUCCUCCUUGUGUCCUGACAUCAUCAUAGGCAGCAAAGUCUGCAUUAAAGACAUGAACUAAUGACACAGGCACUGCACUCUAAGAGGUGGUUCCUUCAUGGGCAAUCCACAUUGAGGUGAUGCACAGCAGGGAAGGGAGCUGGCUCCAGCACCCAUCAGGAACUGCUGAAAGGUACUCUUGCUCCUGGGUUGUCAACACAAGAUUUAGUGUGAGUUCCUGAAAGUGUCUUAACAGGCAUAGAAAGCACUGAUUCCCUCAAGUCUGCAGAAACAUGAUGCACAGCAACCAUUAGCACUGGCUUACAUUGCAGAACAAAUUCUGUGGCAGGAUGAGCCAGGUGCUAUGAUAGCUAUGAAAUAGCUAUGAAAUAGCCAUGAUGCUAUUUCAUCUGAGUGAGAGAGGGAAUGAAUUUGGGUCCUGGGGAAGCAUAGAAAGUGGAUGUUAUGCAACUCCUGAAAGAAUCAAGAGCUGUGGCUGUAGCAACUGCCAAUAAAUAUACUCAAGUACUACUCUGCUGGGAAUAUCUACAUGAGGCAUGAAGUGUGCUUACACCAAAUUACCUGAGGACCGCAUGAUGUCAGUCACAAGGAAAACAAUGCUGUGGGUCUUGUAGAUGGUCCUCAGCCUUGCUAUGACAAGAAGGUGCUGAGUGUUUGAAUGGCUCCCAUCCACUGUGAUUGCAUGAAGACAGGUGGGUCUCUGGCCAUGCCUACUCUCAACCUGCAUGGCAUGUUGUCUGACACUGGUAAGGAGUAUCUAAAAUCUACAUGAGGCAAUCAACAUCAUUUUGUGGACAAUUUUACAUUUGAAAGCAUCUCUCUGGAGCUGUUUGUCUUCAAAACAGAGAGCCCAGGAGUGUUUAUUGCCUGUAGGCUUGGCCUGGGAGAAAAUGAAACCAGCUUGAUACUGGAGACUGGGAAAUGAUACCAUUGUAUCCUGUGAAGGCAAGAUGCAAGCUGGCAUCUCCCUGCUUCCUCUCAUCUGUAACUCCAGAAGAACUGUCUUGGACACUUUGGACUAAAAUGUUUCAAUGCUUUCAGCUCAGAGCAGCAUUUGGAGACCAAGUUUUUCUUCUGGUAAAACAUAAACUACAGCACAGAAAUAGAAGUAAAACAUUUGUUUGCUCAGCUCUAGUAACGUGGUGCCGAGGCAUGCCCGCAGGUAUGCUUGUACUGUAAUUGCUGCAGCUGUUAUUCUGAAUUGAAUACUUUUCCUUGCUUGCUCCUCUUCCUCUUCAUGCACUGUAGUUUUAUAAAGCUCAAGUUGCUGAUGAUGUGCUGCACAGGAUGGUUUUGAUGUGUUGUCUGGGCAAGACUAUCUUUGACAGCUACCUUUUACUCGCUGGGAGAAACAGGUCUAGGACGUGAUUCCUGCUCCUUCUUGCUACUCUCUAAGUGUUGUUGCAGGUGAAAAGGAAACAUGCCUCGUACAUAAAGUCACUAAUUUAUUAGUAGCAUAAUAGAAAUAUCAAGUCUAAUCCAAGAAUUAUUAUUGAUGCAGAUCUGGUUAUAGAAAGAGGAGGAAUACUAUGAAGAAAAGUCUCGGUAAUAACAUGGUUCAGGUUGUUACGUGUUUAACAUCCUAGUUUCUACACCUUUUUUUUGUGCAAUGCUUACACUUCCAGUGGGCCCAUGUAACAUCAAAAUUUACUGUUAAUAUUGCCUUUUGUUUGUGCUAGCUACUAUGUCUCUAUUCUCUUCAUUAUAAAACUGGUUUUGUCCAGCUCCAGCCUUGCAUUUCUUUAAAUGAACACUGGUGGGUUUUUUAUAACCAUGGGAUCACCAAUGCCAGCCUGUGCUGCUUCUGUUACCAUCCUAGGUCUGUGCUGCUCCUCACCAUGUCCUGUGGCUCUGCCUCACAAGGUUCUCUAUAAUGUAUCAUUAUGUUAGAUUAAUAAAUAUCCCAUUCUUUAUAUAAUCACUGCUUGUUACUGCGGUCUAUAUAAAGUCAU